CAAAUGUCUGAGCAUUUCAGGAUGUUGGAAAAUGUACAAAGAGGGCCAACACUGAAUCUGGACAGAUCAGCAUAGGAUCGUGAAGGAUCCAAACAGAGGAGGAAGCAGGGAUAAAGAAAAGCAUUUGAAACUUCACUUCUGUGAAAUGCUCUGCUGCGAAUUGUUGUGUGUGCGAAGUGCUAAGUGACAGAGAACCACCAGUUUUGAAGAACUGUGGGACAUCACUGAUGUGUGC
This is a long non-coding RNA of Vidua chalybeata, 235 nucleotides long. RefSeq lists it as uncharacterized. Lineage: Eukaryota; Metazoa; Chordata; Aves; Passeriformes; Viduidae. The transcript is spliced from 3 exons. The record is from RefSeq and is a predicted model, not a curated record.